This 547-nucleotide ribosomal RNA is filed under the name uncultured archaeon. RNAcentral describes it as "bacterial SSU rRNA". It matches the Rfam family "Archaeal small subunit ribosomal RNA", at positions 876 to 1429 of the family's 1478-position model. The record is from RNAcentral.
GCACCACAAGGGGUGGAACCUGCGGUUCAAUUGGAUUCAACGCCGGACAACUCACCAGGGGCGACAGUUGGUUGAAGGCCAGGUUGACGACUUUGCUGGACUAGCUGAGAGGUGGUGCAUGGCCAUCGUCAGCUCGUACCGUGAGGCGUCCUGUUAAGUCAGGCAACGAGCGAGAUCCUCGCCCCUAGUUGCCAUCGGUGGGAAGCCGGGCACUCUAGGGGGACCGCUGGCGCUAAGUCAGAGGAAGGAGAGGGCGACGGUAGGUCAGUAUGCCCCGAAUCCCCUGGGCUACACGCGGGUUACAAUGCGCAGGACAAUGAGAUGCAACCCCGUAAGGGGGAGCCAAGCCCCUAAACCUGCGCUCGGUUCGGAUCGAGGGCUGUAACUCGCCCUCGUGAAGCUGGAAUCCCUAGUAAUCGCGUGCCAACACCGCGCGGUGAAUGCGUCCCUGCUCCUUGCACACACCGCCCGUCAAGCCACUCGAGUGGGGUCCGGAUGAGGUCAGUUCAAGUUGGACUGCUCGAAUCCGAGUUCUGCAAGAGGGGCU